GCUACAAUUCUCGAUUCCUCUUCCUCUACAAUGAAGAAAUCCAAUUUCUUAAGAAGUUCUAAAGAUAUGCUUACCAAGAGCUUCAAUUCCACCAAAUGUAAGAUGUCCUUAAAGCUAGCGUCUUCAAGGUUGAAAUUGUUGAAGAACAAGAAGGAAGUGCAAGUGAAGCAGAUGAAAAGAGAACUUUCCCAGUUGCUUGAUUCUGGUCAGGACCGGACAGCAAGAAUUCGUGUGGAGCAUGUACUUAGGGAGGAGAAGAUGAUGGCAGCAUAUGAUCUUAUCGAGAUUUACUGUGAACUGAUCGUGGCACGGUUGCCAAUUAUUGAGUCACAAAAAAAUUGCCCCAUUGACUUGAAAGAAGCAAUUACCAGUGUAGUUUUUGCGUCACCAAGGUGUGGAGACAUACCAGAACUUGUAGAUGUUCGGAAACAUCUUACCGCAAAAUAUGGGAAAGAAUUUAUAAGUGCAGCAGUUGAGCUCCGUCCAAAUUGUGGAGUUAGUCGCAUGUUGGUUGAGAAGUUAUCUGCGAAAGCGCCUGAUGGGCAGACCAAAAUGAGAAUCUUGGGGGCAAUUGCUGAGGAACAUGGUGUUAAAUGGGAUCCUAAAUCAGUAGAAGAGACAGAGUCAGUGCCUUCAAAUGACUUGUUGAAUGGAUCUGGUAGUUUAGAGAAGGCUGGUAACAUCCAUGAAGACCCUCUUCAUCUCAAUGCGUCAGUUAUGAGACUUCCACUUGAUCACUGUAAAAGGCCUAAUGCAUCUUCAAAUCCCCAAGAGCAGAAUGCAAGAUCCUCAUUGGAGACCCAAAGCUUUGACUCUGCAUAUAGUGGUGGUAGAGGAGUAACACCAUCUUCUAACUAUCAUCAUGGAGUUAGUCCUUCAGGGUCUAGGGAUGAAAGGUCAGAAAUUGGGCAGUCAGUUCCUGGAGAUGGUAAAUUUUCUAUGGACAGGCAGAAUUGGAAUAUGGAAUUCAAAGAUGCUACCUCUGCUGCUCAAGCAGCUGCUGAGUCUGCAGAACGUGCAAGCCUAGCUGCCAGAGCUGCUGCUGAACUUUCAAGGGUUUCAAGGCAAUAUUCCUCGGAAUCUCAGAGGCCUGAAGUACAGUCUUUGGUAGGUGGAGGACGAGGAAUGUAUGACACAAGUAUCCAUGAACAUUUUUCCAAAGAUUCAGCAAAUAGCUCUUUAUCUGACAGAAAUCCAAGGCUUCAGAAUGGAAGAAUUGAUAGUUUGCAUCAUGAAAAUCUGGCUAGAGCGACAAGACAAUUUCAUGAUGAUGAUCAUGCUACUUCAGGAGGUUCAGGACCAGGGAACUAUGGUAGUUCAAGUAUGCAUGAACAUUUUCCUAAAGAUUCAGUUGUGAGCUCUUCACCGAAUAGAACUUCAAGGUUUCAGCAAGAAAGGACGGAGAGUUUGCAACAUGAUAAUAUGCCUAGGGCAACAAGACAUGAUAAUGAUAUGCAUGGUACUUUUGAUAGGCCUGAUUCACAAGUCUCCGCAGGUGCCACGGGCUCAAUUAAUACUGAUAAUUCAUUUCCUAGUGUUGGAGAAGGUUAUAAGUACAUGCAGAAAAGCCUAUCAAAAGCGGACAGUGAAAUGAUAACGAGAAAAUCAGUUGGCAGAACUGAAUCUGAAUCCACGGGUAGCUUUAAGAAUGAGUUAGUGGAGGAUUUCAAUUAUUUUGGAGAAGAAGCUAGUAGAAAAGAUCCCAAAAUUAAUUCUUCAGAAUCUUAUUUAAGCGCUUCAGGUUUUGGUGAAAAUAUUCAUCAUUCUAACCAACAAAGUUAUGGUUAUGCUAAGACUAAUGAUCCCUUUAAUAAUGUUUACCAAGGUCACAUUCCUAGUGAAACUGUUAGUAAGAGUUCUCAUGAUUCUGCCUCUGUUGCUUUUGAUGAUUCUGGCUCAGAAGAAGAUUAUAAUAUUAAGUUUGACUCAGAUCCUACAUAUGAUGACCAGCAAGCCAAACUUUAUUUUCCAUCACCAGAAAGGAAAUCACCUACUUACAACUCUGCAAUUAAAGAAUCGUGGAGCUUUGACUCGAACAAAUCACAGGAGGAGUCCUCGAUGACAUCAGAAAUCUUUGUGGAAAAGCAAUCGCCUCAAUUAUACAAAAGCUUGGCUGCCGCUGGUGACAAUUCACGACAAGAAAAUGUUGUGCCAUCCUUUGACGAUUCUGAUGGUAUGAAUUCCGAAAGUGACAGUGAGAUAGUCCAACACCCGAUAGGAACUGAUGGGAACAAAUGGUUACCAGCUUUGCCCAGGACACAGACAGAUCAUGAUACUUUGGCUUCUUCUGUUUCUGACUCCGAAAAGGCAUUCACAUUUGGGAAGUUAACUGGUGGCCUUAAGCAUAAAGGCCAUAUCCCUCCACCUUACUUAAGAAGCCAGUUAAACAGUGUUCCAUCUUCAGUCGAGAAUGCUAAGGGAAGUCCUGCGGUGACGUCACAAGAUGUUGCACCCCCUAAGAGUUCUGUUGGUUUAGGAAUGAGGAUGAAAAUAGACGAUAAGUCAAGCUCAAGAUUGGAUGACACUCAUCAUGCUUCAGAUACCGACAGUUCUGAUGCAGAAUUUUCACAAGAGGCUUCGAGUUACAGUCAAAGAACUUAUUCACAAAAAAGAGGCAGCGAGGUUAAUACAAAAUAUGCAGGCUUACGAGGUUCAUCCACAUAUUUUGAUUCUGAUAGCAGUGAUUCCGAGGCUGGUCCUAAGAAACAUUCUUUUGCUGGUAGAAGUCAAUUGAAUAGUGGAAUUUCUCGUAGAACUAAAGCUUCUUCCUCCAGCUUCGAUACAAACAUUUCAUCAAAGUCUAAAAUCAGCUCCGAAACAGCUGUUAAUUCUGACUCUGGUGUAGAUGGCAAACCCAUCAACUGCUCUUUCGGAAUUAAAACUCAAGAACCUCUGAAACCCGUCAGAAAUUCUUAUGCUGCUGAUACACAAAAAACUCAGAGACUGACCAAGAACUUUUACAGUAGUGAAUCACAUGAAUCCCCAACAGAUAAAAGGAUAAGUUUAGAGCAGCCCAGCGCUGGACCUACAGUUCCAAUGCCUGUUAUACAGACCAGGAUAACAUCACAUGAAAGGAGACAGAAGAUGGGAAGGGUGGAAAAACCAUCUAGCUCUUCCCAAAUGGCAGCAGCAUCAGGCAACAAUGAUGUUCCAAAGGCACCAGCUUCCAGUGGGGACAAAUUUUCCAGUGCGGAUAGCAUGAAGAAAGCUAGUCAUGUACAUCCAAAGCUGCCUGAUUAUGAUGAUAUUGCUUCUAAGUUGCUGUCGCUUCGAACGAGUCCCAAGUGAAAGAUAAUGUCUUUGUAGCUGCGUAUGUACAUGGCGAAAGGUUUCGUAUAGUGUUUCUGAUGACCGCGAGAUUCCAAUACAAUAUAUUUGUUUGUACUGUGCACAUUUUUUUAUUUGAUGUGAAAAUAAUCUUGGGUAUAUGAAUACUUGAAAUGGAUGCUGCGUAGACAGCCCAAAAUUUCUAUUUGUAACUUGAUUGAUAUUCAUUCAUUUGAAAAUGAGUUGUAU
This 3516-nucleotide unclassified non-coding RNA is filed under the name Hevea brasiliensis (rubber tree). Lineage: Eukaryota; Viridiplantae; Streptophyta; Magnoliopsida; Malpighiales; Euphorbiaceae. The record is from RNAcentral.